RNAcentral lists this ribosomal RNA (716 nucleotides) under basidiomycete sp. SD-137.4. Its description in RNAcentral is "eukaryotic LSU rRNA". The stretch from base 248 to 401 matches the Rfam family "5.8S ribosomal RNA". The record is from RNAcentral. Lineage: Eukaryota; Fungi; Basidiomycota.
UCUUGGUCAUUUAGAGGAAGUAAAAGUCGUAACAAGGUUUCCGUAGGUGAACCUGCGGAAGGAUCAUUAAUGAAUUACAGAGAGUUGAUGCUGGCAGUCUUGACUGCAUGUGCUUGCUCUCUAGUCCCAUUCACACCUGUGCAUUUUUUGACUUUGAAGGCGGGGAUAAAAACCUGCCUUUGAAAUUCACAAAAACUCUUUGUUUAUAUUAAUGGAUGUUUAUCUGCCGCAAGGCGAAAUCAAAUACAACUUUUAACAACGGAUCUCUUGGCUCUCGCAUCGAUGAAGAACGCAGCGAAAUGCGAUAAGUAAUGUGAAUUGCAGAAUUCAGUGAAUCAUCGAAUCUUUGAACGCACCUUGCGCUCCCUGGUAUUCCGGGGAGCACACCUGUUCGAGUGUCAUGAAACUCUCAAACAAGAUGGAUUUGUUUCUAUCUCUGUUUGGAUUUGGACUUUGCUGUGUCAAUGCAGCUGGUCUGAAAUGUAUUAGCUGAUCCUAGUGAAGGGUCUGGUUCUACUCGGCAUGAUAAUUAUCUUAUGUUGAGGACGGUCUCAGGACUGGCCAGAUUUUUCUGUGGGUUGCUUCUAAUCGUCUUUGGACAAAUUAUCUAGUAUUUGACCUCGAAUCAGGUGGGACUACCCGCUGAACUUAAGCAUAUCAAUAAGCGGAGGAAAAGAAACUAACAAGGAUUCCCCUAGUAACGGCGAGUGAAGCGG